RNAcentral lists this long non-coding RNA (692 nucleotides) under Olea europaea subsp. europaea. The record is from RNAcentral. Lineage: Eukaryota; Viridiplantae; Streptophyta; Magnoliopsida; Lamiales; Oleaceae.
GCCCAUUAGUGUCAUUCUAGAACUCUCCUCACGUCUCAAACAUCUGUAGAUUUUCAUUUCCACCUCUAUCCAUUUUUCGCCUCUCUCUUUCUUUGUCGUCUUUUCUGCCUUCAUCCUUCUCCUAUUCAUGUAUUUAUUAAACACCAACCCUAAAAGUCCCAAAUUCACAGUAGCACAAACCCUAACAUUUUAUUGUCAGCAAUGGCUUUGAAGUGUAGGCAAUCAUCAACAAAGUUACCAAGAUGAAACUGACCCGGAAAAAUCCGUGUCUCCAACAUGAAGGAUCUUCUUUUGGAUAAACAAUUUGUGGUAGAAAGCUUGAAAAAGAGAUUGGAAGAGAAAGUGGAAGAUAAUCAGAAGCUCUGUAUACAAGUGAAAGAAAAGCCACUCAAGAGUUUAAAACGUAGUUUAAUGACCGGGAGAGGUAGGUGAGAACCUCUCUAGUGGUGUCAGAAGCCAUGGUAGUGUGGUUGAUAGAGAUAAGAUUAGUAGACCGUAUUAGAUUUCUUUGCUUUACAUAACAUUUUGUUAAAGUUAAGUUGUACAUGCCAAAAGAUUUGUGUCAAGAUUGACUUGCUCGAUUGAAUUGUUUUUGUCUUUUUAUAUUUAAAAAUUCUUAUUCCAAAUCUUUUGUGGUUGCAAGAAAAAUCAUAGGGGCACAUAAAUGUUGCAUUGUAAACAAUGAAUUUCGA